This 466-nucleotide ribosomal RNA is filed under the name uncultured bacterium. Its description in RNAcentral is "bacterial SSU rRNA". It matches the Rfam family "Bacterial small subunit ribosomal RNA", at positions 338 to 795 of the family's 1533-position model. The record is from RNAcentral.
CCUACGGGGGGCUGCAGUCGAGAAUCUUUCGCAAUGGGGGCAACCCUGACGAAGCGACGCCGCGUGCAGGAUGAAGGCCUUCGGGUUGUAAACUGCUGUCAGCUGGGAAGAAACAGGCGGCGACCAAUAAUCGCUGUCUUUGACGGUACCAGCAGAGGAAGCCACGGCUAACUCUGUGCCAGCAGCCGCGGUAAUACAGAGGUGGCAAGCGUUGUUCGGAUUCAUUGGGCGUAAAGGGUCCGUAGGCGGAUUGGAAAGUCAGAUGUGAAAUCCUACAGCUUAACUGUGGAAUUGCAUUUGAAACUUCCAGUCUGGAGUGUGAGAGGGGUGAAGGGAAUUCCCGGUGUAAGGGUGAAAUCUGCAGAGAUCGGGAAGAACACCAGUCGCGAAGGCGCUUCACUGGCUCAUUACUGACGCUGAGGGACGAAAGCUAGGGGAGCGAACGGGAUUAGAUACCCCAGUAGUC